RNAcentral lists this ribosomal RNA (607 nucleotides) under uncultured bacterium. Its description in RNAcentral is "bacterial SSU rRNA". It matches the Rfam family "Bacterial small subunit ribosomal RNA", at positions 276 to 882 of the family's 1533-position model. The record is from RNAcentral.
ACGAUCAGUAGGGGUUCUGAGAGGAAGGUCCCCCACAUUGGAACUGAGACACGGUCCAAACUCCUACGGGAGGCAGCAGUGAGGAAUAUUGGUCAAUGGGCGAGAGCCUGAACCAGCCAAGUAGCGUGCAGGAAUGACGGCCCUAUGGGUUGUAAACUGCUUUUAUAAGGGAAUAAAGUGAGCUUCGUGAGGCUUUUUGCAUGUACCUUAUGAAUAAGGACCGGCUAAUUCCGUGCCAGCAGCCGCGGUAAUACGGAAGGUCCGGGCGUUAUCCGGAUUUAUUGGGUUUAAAGGGAGCGUAGGCCGGAGAUUAAGCGUGUUGUGAAAUGUAGAUGCUCAACAUCUGCACUGCAGCGCGAACUGGUUUCCUUGAGUACGCACAAAGUGGGCGGAAUUCGUGGUGUAGCGGUGAAAUGCUUAGAUAUCACGAAGAACUCCGAUUGCGAAGGCAGCUCACUGGAGCGCAACUGACGCUGAAGCUCGAAAGUGCGGGUAUCGAACAGGAUUAGAUACCCUGGUAGUCCGCACGGUAAACGAUGGAUGCCCGCUGUUGGUCUGAAUAGGUCAGCGGCCAAGCGAAAGCAUUAAGCAUCCCACCUGGGGAGUA